UACGUAGGGGGCGAGCGUUGUCCGGAUUUAUUGGGCGUAAAGAGCUCGUAGGCGGCUUGGCAAGUCGGGUGUGAAACCUCCAGCUUAACCUGGAGACGCACUCGAUACUGCCAUGGCUAGAGUCCGGUAGGGGACCACGGGAAUUCCUGGUGUAGCGGUGAAAUGCGGCAGAUAUCAGGAGGAACACCGGUGGCGAAGGCGGUGGUCUGGGCCGGCACUGACGCUGGAGGAGCGAAAGCGUGGGUAGCAAACAGG
This 255-nucleotide ribosomal RNA is filed under the name uncultured bacterium. RNAcentral's name for it is "partial 16S ribosomal RNA". It matches the Rfam family "Bacterial small subunit ribosomal RNA", at positions 524 to 776 of the family's 1533-position model. The record is from RNAcentral.